CCACGUUUCACGACAGUAGAAGGUUAAUCUACAUGACCAGGGCGCAUCGAGGACUUUCUCAGCGAGUUCUGAAGUUUUGGAGGCCAGCAAAUGUGUUUGGCAUCCAGGGAGUGCAGCUCUUAAGGACCAUACACAGUGCAAAGUGGUAAAGGCUGAGACCCUAUUCGUCUUUCAAGCCCUGCCUGUCUAGCUGGUGCGGAGAAUUGAAGAUCACCAAGUGCACCUCAGUGAAGAGUGGCUUGAUAAGAGGUUUUCAGCUGUGGUAAGUCAGCAUCCCUCUCUCGUGUCUCAGUGGAAUGGUGGCUGUUAAA
RNAcentral lists this long non-coding RNA (311 nucleotides) under Struthio camelus australis. RNAcentral describes it as "lncRNA (ENSSCUG00000013296.1)". The record is from RNAcentral. Lineage: Eukaryota; Metazoa; Chordata; Aves; Struthioniformes; Struthionidae.